GAUCCGCCCGCCUCGGCCUCCCAAAGUGCUGGGAUUACAGGCGUGAGCCACUGCGACCGGCCUGAGUACUGUUCUUUUUGCACUUGAAGCAGCCACAGGUGUUUUGUUGGCCUGAAAAAGCGACAAUGGAAAUAUUCAAGUCAGGAGCAGGGGGAAAGAGGUUGUUCAAAACGGGAGGUCAGUCCCAGAAGGUCAGGGAGAGGGCAGGAAACAGGAGCGAGGUGCUGAUAGAGACUGUGCUUCUCCACAUGGACAGGCUGCCGUGGGGAUGGGGGCGUGGUUGGGGAGACGCGCUUAGGAAGUUGGGGGCACUGGAUCUAACCCAGGGCCUUAUCACGGGCACUGACUGCCCUGUGUUUCCAGGAUGCAGAGGGAGGGAGGCAGAACACUUCCACCCCAUCACUGUACCAAUGAAACAGGAGAGGCUGCGGCGCAGGCUGAGCCAGGCUUAUCCCACGCUGAAGAGCCCUUGGGACUGGGCUGGGGGUCUGCAGUAGGAGCCCCUAAGUCCCACCAAGCUGGUCCAACAUGCCCGGAUUAAGGAUCCCCCACCCCUUUGUCCCCCUGGGAUCCCUGCAGGGGACAGGAAGUAAAAGGUGGACAGGAGGCGCCCUGCCAGCCUAAGUGACUCCCUCCAGGUUUGAGUUCCCUGAGGGCAUGGCCCCCAUCUGCCUAGGUCACUCUCCACCCACAGGACAGGCACAGGGCCUCAAACAGUGCAUGUAUACGUGAAAGAAACCCGGCCCAAAACUGACUUGAGGAGACCGAGCUGACCCAGUCGGCCUGCCUGGGAGGGCCGCUCCUCUGCUUGGCCUCCCUUCUCUCCUGGGUCCUGAAAUCCUGAUGCUGGUUUGCACUUGUCCUCCGGAGUUCAACGCCAUAGGAGGGCCUUGCAGUACCUCCUAGAGGCCACAGGGGGGAGAGCGCGGGGCCCUCCCAGGGAGGACGCUCCGUCCUCGCUGCACAGAGAGCUUCCCGGAGCGUGGGUGGGGGUGGAAACCCGUGGGGAGCUGAAGUCUCCUCAGCCCAGUCACUGAGGCACCGGGGGAGACGCGGAGAUCCCGUUCUUCCACAACGCCCUAGAAGGAGCCCCUGCUCGGAACCUACCACCAGCUUCUCAUUAGCCCUGGAAUAAAAUCCCCAUUCCUCACUACGGCUCUAUGCGAUGGGCCUGGCCUCCCUCUCUAACGUCCCUCUGGGCCUACUGGCACAGGCCAUCAGGGAACAUGGGCGGCUGUUACCAAGGUCUUCAGAAAGCCAGAGCUUCAUCUGCUUUUAGGACUAAUUUCAAAUGUCCCUCCCUGGGCCACCUUUUAAAAUUUGUAUUUUAAUAGAGACGGGGUCUUGCCAUGUUGCCCAGGCUGGUCUGGAACUCCUGGGCUUGAGUGAUCCUCCUGCCUCAGCCCCCUAAAGUGCUGGGACUACAGGUGCGAGCCACCGCACUCGGCCCUCAGGCCAUCGACCAAGGAAACCCUGUCAGCAUCAUAUGGCCCCGUUUUCUUCGCAGCACCUGUCCUUCUCUGAAGUCAUCUUGUUUGCGUAUCUAUUUUUGGUUACAUUAUGAUGUCUCCUUCGCUAGGACAUGGGAUCUGUAGGGCAGGUCUUUUGUCCAUCUACAGCCCCCAGUACCAAGAGCCAAAUAAAUAUUUACAAAUUA
Long non-coding RNA from Homo sapiens (human), 1657 nucleotides. RefSeq lists it as uncharacterized. The record is from RefSeq and is a predicted model, not a curated record. The transcript is spliced from 2 exons. NCBI's taxonomy places the organism in Eukaryota, Metazoa, Chordata, Mammalia, Primates, Hominidae.